RNAcentral lists this non-coding RNA (37 nucleotides) under Schistosoma mattheei. The record is from RNAcentral. Lineage: Eukaryota; Metazoa; Platyhelminthes; Trematoda; Strigeidida; Schistosomatidae.
GACGAGUCCCAAACAGGACGAAACGCGCGUCCUGGAU